GGAUGUGAGGGCGAUCUGGCUGCGACAUCUGUCACCCCAUUGAUCGCCAGGGUUGAUUCGGCUGAUCUGGCUGGCUAGGCAGGUGUCCCCUUCCUCCCUCACCGCUCCAUGUGCGUCCCUCCCGAAGCUGCGCGCUCAGUGGAAGAGGACGACCAUCCCAGAUAGAAGGAGUGUACCGUUUUUCAGUCAAGGGUAUACGAUAGCUGCGCUCCCCUGCUAGAACCUCCAAACAAGAAACCUCCAAGGAAGGAGAGUCCACAACCUUGCAAGAGAGUCCGUUCCAACUUUACUGUCAGAAAGUU
Podarcis lilfordi (Lilford's wall lizard) is the source of this 302-nucleotide non-coding RNA. Lineage: Eukaryota; Metazoa; Chordata; Lepidosauria; Squamata; Lacertidae. The record is from the annotation of a GenBank genome assembly.